This is a long non-coding RNA of Vigna umbellata (rice bean), 208 nucleotides long. RefSeq lists it as uncharacterized. Lineage: Eukaryota; Viridiplantae; Streptophyta; Magnoliopsida; Fabales; Fabaceae. The record is from RefSeq and is a predicted model, not a curated record.
AACAAAAUAAAUCAUCGUAUUGUUCAGAAUAUGAGAGACCCCAGAAAGAAAGUGAUCUCAAUUCUGCUGUGCGCAAAACUUCUGCAAAAGAGGCUCCAGAUGCUUCUGGUGCCAUCAUUUCAGUUCUCCAAAGCUCAGAUAGUGAAUAUGGUGAUGAUUAAUAAGAGCAGCUUUUCACAGCAUAACAUGAUGAUUAAUUAUGACUGAU